Molecule: ribosomal RNA, 291 nt
Filed under: uncultured bacterium
Lineage: Bacteria
Description: partial 16S ribosomal RNA
Rfam family: Bacterial small subunit ribosomal RNA
Source: RNAcentral
GUGGAUUAGAUACCCUGGUAGUCCACGCCCUAAACGAUGUCUACUAGUUGUUGGGAGAGUAAAAUCUUUUAGUAACGAAGCUAACGCGAGAAGUAGACCGCCUGGGGAGUACGGUCGCAAGAUUAAAACUCAAAGGAAUUGACGGGGGCCCGCACAAGCGGUGGAUUAUGUGGAUUAAUUCGAUGCAACGCGAAAAACCUUACCUAGCCUUGACAUGUAGCGAACUUAGCAGAGAUGCUUUGGUGCCCGAAAGGGAGCGUUAACACAGGUGCUGCACGGCCGUCGCCAACU